This 433-nucleotide ribosomal RNA is filed under the name uncultured bacterium. Its description in RNAcentral is "partial 16S ribosomal RNA". It matches the Rfam family "Bacterial small subunit ribosomal RNA", at positions 29 to 507 of the family's 1533-position model. The record is from RNAcentral.
AACGAACGCUGGCGGCAGGCCUAACACAUGCAAGUCGAGCGAGACCUUCGGGUCUAGCGGCGGCCGGGUGAGUAACGCGUGGGAACGUGCCCUUUUCUACGGAAUAGCCUCGGGAAACUGAGCGUAAUACCGUAUACGCCCUUUGGGGGAAAGAUUUAUCGGAGAAGGAUCGGCCCGCGUUGGAUUAGGUAGUUGGUGGGGUAAUGGCCUACCAAGCCUACGAUCCAUAGCUGGUUUGAGAGGAUGAUCAGCCACACUGGGACUGAGACACGGCCCAGACUCCUACGGGAGGCAGCAGUGGGGAAUCGUAGACAAUGGGGGCAACCCUGAUCUAGCCAUGCCGCGUGAGUGAUGAAGGCCUUAGGGUUGUAAAGCUCUUUCAGCUGGGAAGAUAAUGACGGUACCAGCAGAAGAAGCCCCGGCUAACUCCGUG